RNAcentral lists this ribosomal RNA (305 nucleotides) under uncultured bacterium. RNAcentral's name for it is "bacterial SSU rRNA". It matches the Rfam family "Bacterial small subunit ribosomal RNA", at positions 337 to 640 of the family's 1533-position model. The record is from RNAcentral.
GCCUACGGGAGGCAGCAGUGAGGAAUAUUGGUCAAUGGGCGGGAGCCUGAACCAGCCAAGUCGCGUGAGUGACGACGGUCCUAUGGAUUGUAAACCUCUUUUGUCGGGGAACAAAGGCGCCCACGGGUGGGCGGAGGAGUGUACCCGAAGAAAAAGCAUCGGCUAACUCCGUGCCAGCAGCCGCGGUAAUACGGAGGAUGCGAGCGUUAUCCGGAUUUAUUGGGUUUAAAGGGGGCGUAGGCGGACAGUCAAGUAAGUGGUAAAAAUGCGGGGCUCAACGCCGUACAGCCGGUGAAACUGGCGGG